Molecule: ribosomal RNA, 406 nt
Filed under: uncultured bacterium
Lineage: Bacteria
Description: partial 16S ribosomal RNA
Rfam family: Bacterial small subunit ribosomal RNA
Source: RNAcentral
AUUGAACGCUGGCGGCAGGCCUAACACAUGCACGUCGAACGAGUGGCGGACGGGUGAGUAAUGUCUGGGAAACUGCCCGAUGGAGGGGGAUAACUACUGGAAACGGUCGCUAAUACCGCAUACCAUCGGAUGUGCCCCGAUGGGAUGAGCUAGUAGGUGGGGUAACGGCUCACCUAGUCGCCGAGCCCUAGCUGGUCUGAGAGGAUGACCAGCCAGACUGGAACUGAGACACGGUCCAGACGCCUACGGGAGGCAGCAGUGGGGAAUAUUGCACAAUGGGCGCAAGCCUGAUGCAGCCAUGCCGCGUGUAUGAAGAAGGCCUUCGGGUUGUAAAGUACUUUCAGCGAGGAGGCGUUACUCGCAGAAGAAGCACCGGCUAACUCCGUGCCAGCCGCCGCGGUAAUAC